Molecule: transfer RNA, 76 nt
Filed under: Weissella viridescens
Lineage: Bacteria; Bacillati; Bacillota; Bacilli; Lactobacillales; Lactobacillaceae
Description: tRNA-Lys
Rfam family: tRNA
About the family: Transfer RNA (tRNA) molecules are approximately 80 nucleotides in length. Their secondary structure includes four short double-helical elements and three loops (D, anti-codon, and T loops). Further hydrogen bonds mediate the characteristic L-shaped molecular structure. tRNAs have two regions of fundamental functional importance: the anti-codon, which is responsible for specific mRNA codon recognition, and the 3' end, to which the tRNAs corresponding amino acid is attached (by aminoacyl-tRNA synthetases). tRNAs cope with the degeneracy of the genetic code in two manners: having more than one tRNA (with a specific anti-codon) for a particular amino acid; and 'wobble' base-pairing, i.e. permitting non-standard base-pairing at the 3rd anti-codon position.
Source: RNAcentral
GGACAAGUAGCUCAGUUGGUAGAGCAACGGACUCUUAAUCCGUGGGUCAAGGGUUCGAGCCCCUUCUUGUCCACUA